AUGUAGCAGUAACAGGGGCAGGUGAUGAACUUUUCCUCACAGAUGAGGAUGAGGAUGAUGUAGCAGUAACAGGGGCAGGUGAUGAACUUUUCCUCACAGAUGAGGAUGAGGAUGAUGUAGCAGUAACAGGGGCAGGUGAUGAACUUUUCCUCACAGGUGAGGAUGAGGAUGAUGUAGCAGUCACAGGGGCAGGUGAUGAACUUUUCCUCACAGAUGAGGAUGAGGAUGAUGUAGCAGUCACAGGGGCAGGUGAUGAACUUUUCCUCACAGGUGAGGAUGAGGAUGAUGUAGCAGUCACAGGAGCAGGUGAUGAACGCUGCACAGAAGACCAAAGACACAAAAAGAAAUACCACAGAUGUAAACAAAAAGUAAAUAUAAAUGCUUGCUUAAUUCAAAGUGCAUUGAUUUAGUUUAAGGGCAAGACAAAUGCAUUUGGAACAAAUAAUGUUUAAAACACAAAAGGG
This is a long non-coding RNA of Cyprinus carpio carpio, 464 nucleotides long. NCBI's taxonomy places the organism in Eukaryota, Metazoa, Chordata, Actinopteri, Cypriniformes, Cyprinidae. The record is from Ensembl.